UGCGAUCAGCCAUUGAUUAUUUUGAAGUGACAAGAGCUAGGCCAUCUUUGGAUGGAACUGUUCUUAUUACAGCUUGGUCUAAACUAUCUUUUUACACCAUAGAUUUUGGUUGGGGAGAACCCAUUUCAACAGGGCCUGUUGCUUUGCCUGAAAAGCCAGUUCUGAUUUUCCUUCCUCAUCAGAAAGAUAAGAAAAGCAUUAAUUUACUGUUGGGGUUGCCUGUUUCAGCAAUGAAUAGCUUUGAAGAACUGAUGCAGGUUUAAGCAGAAGAAAAAAAAAGACAUGUUUUAUACCAAGUUAUUUUAUGUCAGAUACUCAGAUUCAUAUGUUGCAUGCAUUCAUUAUCUGAGGAUUUUCUGACAGUGGG
Molecule: long non-coding RNA, 367 nt
Filed under: Gossypium barbadense (sea-island cotton)
Lineage: Eukaryota; Viridiplantae; Streptophyta; Magnoliopsida; Malvales; Malvaceae
Description: long non-coding RNA (GBAR_LNC015062)
Source: RNAcentral